UUGGACGUUUUCAUUUUUAAUGACCGCCGA
Molecule: non-coding RNA, 30 nt
Filed under: Mus musculus (house mouse)
Lineage: Eukaryota; Metazoa; Chordata; Mammalia; Rodentia; Muridae
Source: RNAcentral